CCUACGGGUGACAGCAGUGGGGAAUAUUGCACAAUGGGGGAAACCCUGAUGCAGCGACGCCGCGUGAGUGAAGAAGGAUUUCGGUAUGUAAAGCUCUAUCAGCAGGGAAGAAACCCACCCUCAGGGGUGGCGGACGGUACGUGACUAAGAAGCCACGGAUAACGACGUGCCAGCAGCCGCGGUAAUACGUAGGGGGCAAGCGUUAUCCGGAUUUACUGGGUGAAAAGGGAGCGUAGGUGGCAAGGCAAGUCAGAUGUGAAAACCCGGGGCCCAACCCCGGGAGUGCAUUUGAAACUGUCUGGCUAGAGUGCAGGAGAGGUAAGUGGAAUUCCUAGUGUAGCGGUGAAAUGCAUAGAUAUUAGGAGGAACACCAGUGGCGAAGGCGGCUUACUGGACUGUAACUGACACUGAGGCUCGAAAGCGUGGGGAGCAAACAGGAUUAGAUACCCCUGUAGUC
Molecule: ribosomal RNA, 457 nt
Filed under: uncultured bacterium
Lineage: Bacteria
Description: partial 16S ribosomal RNA
Rfam family: Bacterial small subunit ribosomal RNA
Source: RNAcentral